Molecule: long non-coding RNA, 1344 nt
Filed under: Nicotiana tabacum (common tobacco)
Lineage: Eukaryota; Viridiplantae; Streptophyta; Magnoliopsida; Solanales; Solanaceae
Description: long non-coding RNA (NTAB_LNC009209)
Source: RNAcentral
CGAACGAAAUUUUCUGCCCCAGUUUCACUAGGAAAAUUUCGUUAAUUAUUCGCCAGGAAGUUCAUAAAAUUGAUGAAAGAGGAUAUGCAUGCUCAGUUCAGGGUUGGAGCCCUAAUACCGACUAGCUGGGGAAAGGUUCAGUUUAGGGUUUAAAACCCUAACGCCGAACAAAGGAAGAAUUCAGUUUAGGGUUUAAAACCCUAAUGCUGAUUGCAUGGGAAAAAGUUCAGUUUAGGGUUUUAAAACCCUAAUGCUGACUAAGGAAAAAUUCAGUUUAGGGUUUAAAACCCUAAUGCUGACUGAAAGGAAAAAAAUUCAGUUUAGGGUUUAAAACCCUAAUGCUGAUUGGAUGGAAAAGCUCAGUUUAGGGUUUAAAACCCUAAUGCUGGCUGAAAGAAAAAUUUAGUUUAGGGUUUAAAACCCUAAUGCUGAUUGCAUGGAAAAGCUCAGUUUAGGGUUUAAAACCCUAAUGUUGAUUGAAAAGGAAAAAGUUCAGUUCAGGGUUUAAAACCCUAAUGCUGACUAAAAGGAAAAUUCAGUUUAGGGUUUAAAACCCUAAUGCUGGCUGCAUGGAAAAGCUCAGUUUAGGGUUUAAAACCCCAAUGCUGGCUGAAAGGAAAAAGUUCAGUUUAGGGUUUAAAACUCUAAUGCUGACUAAAAGGAAAAGCUUAGUUUAAGGUUUAAAACCCUAAUGCUGGCUGCAUGGAAAAGCUCAAUUUAGGGUUUAAAACCCUAAUGCUGGCUGAAAGGAAAAAGUUCAGUUUAGGGUUUUAAAACCCUAAUGCUGAUUGCAUGGAAAAGCUCAGUUUAGGGUUUAAAACCCUAAUGCUGGCUGAAAGGAAAAAGUUCAGUUUAGGGUUUAAAACUCUAAUGCUGACUAAAAGGAAAAGCUCAGUUUAGGGUUUAAAACCCUAAUGCUGAUUGCAUGAAAAAAGCCUAGUUUAGGGUUUAAAACCCCAAUGCUGGCUGAAAGGAAAAAGUUCAGUUUAGGGUUUAAAACCCUAAUGCUGACUAAAAAGGAAAAUUCAGUUUAGGGUUUAAAACCCUAAUGCUGAUUGCAUGGAAAAGCUCAGUUUAGGGUUUAAAACCCUAAUGCUGGCUGAAAAGGAAAAAGUUCAGUUUAGGGUUUAAAACCCUAAUGCUGACUAAAAGGAAAAUUCAGUUUAGGGUUUAAAACCCUAAUGCUGAUUGCAUGGAAAAGCUCAGUUUAGGGUUUAAAACCCUAAUGCUGGCUGAAAAGGAAAAAGUUCAGUUUAGGGUUUAAAACCCUAAUGCUGACUAAAAGGAAAAUUCAGUUUAGGGUUUAAGACCCUAAUGCUGGCUGCAUGGAAAAGCUCAGUUUAG